RNAcentral lists this non-coding RNA (30 nucleotides) under Cricetulus griseus (Chinese hamster). Lineage: Eukaryota; Metazoa; Chordata; Mammalia; Rodentia; Cricetidae. The record is from RNAcentral.
CAUCAUGCCUGUAAGAACAAAAGGCCCCUU